Molecule: ribosomal RNA, 433 nt
Filed under: uncultured bacterium
Lineage: Bacteria
Description: partial 16S ribosomal RNA
Rfam family: Bacterial small subunit ribosomal RNA
Source: RNAcentral
AACGAACGCUGGCGGCAUGCCUAACACAUGCAAGUCGAACGAGACCUUCGGGUCUAGUGGCGCACGGGUGCGUAACGCGUGGGAACCUGCCUUUAGGUUCGGAAUAACUCAGAGAAAUUUGAGCUAAUACCGGAUGAUGUCUUCGGACCAAAGAUUUAUCGCCUUUAGAUGGGCCCGCGUUGGAUUAGCUAGUUGGUGGGGUAAAGGCCUACCAAGGCGACGAUCCAUAGCUGGUCUGAGAGGAUGAUCAGCCACACUGGGACUGAGACACGGCCCAGACUCCUACGGGAAGCAGCAGUGGGGAAUAUUGGACAAUGGGCGAAAGCCUGAUCCAGCAAUGCCACGUGAGUGAUGAAGGCCUUAGGGUUGUAAAGCUCUUUUACCCGAGAUGAUAAUGACAGUAUCGGGAGAAUAAGCUCCGGCUAACUCCGUG